GAUGAACGCUGGCGGCGUGCCUAAUACAUGCAAGUCGAGCGAACAGACGAGGAGCUUACUCCUCUGACGUUAGCGGCGGACGGGUUAGUAACACGUGGAUAACCUACCUAUAAGACUGGGAUAACUUCGGGAAACCGGAGCUAAUACCGGAUAACAUGUUGAACCGCAUGGUUCAACAGUGAAAGACGGUCUUGCUGUCACUUAUAGAUGGAUCCGCGUCGCAUUAGCUAGUUGGUAAGGUAACGGCUUACCAAGGCAACGAUGCGUAGCCGACCUGAGAGGGUGAUCGGCCACACUGGAACUGAGACACGGUCCAGACUCCUACGGGAGGCAGCAGUAGGGAAUCUUCCGCAAUGGGCGAAAGCCUGACGGAGCAACGCCGCGUGAGUGAAGAAGGUCUUCGGAUCGUAAAACUCUGUUAUUAGGGAAGAACAAAUGUGUAAGUAACUAUGCACGUCUUGACGGUACCUAAUCAGAAAGCCACGGCUAACUACGUG
RNAcentral lists this ribosomal RNA (497 nucleotides) under uncultured bacterium. RNAcentral describes it as "partial 16S ribosomal RNA". It matches the Rfam family "Bacterial small subunit ribosomal RNA", at positions 28 to 507 of the family's 1533-position model. The record is from RNAcentral.